This 301-nucleotide ribosomal RNA is filed under the name uncultured bacterium. RNAcentral describes it as "partial 16S ribosomal RNA". It matches the Rfam family "Bacterial small subunit ribosomal RNA", at positions 509 to 807 of the family's 1533-position model. The record is from RNAcentral.
CAGUCGCCGCGGUAAUACAGAGGGUGCAAGCGUUAAUCGGAAUUACUGGGCGUAAAGCGCGCGUAGGUGGUUUGUUAAGUUGGAUGUGAAAGCCCCGGGCUCAACCUGGGAACUGCAUCCAAAACUGGCAAGCUAGAGUACGGUAGAGGGUGGUGGAAUUUCCUGUGUAGCGGUGAAAUGCGUAGAUAUAGGAAGGAACACCAGUGGCGAAGGCGACCACCUGGACUGAUACUGACACUGAGGUGCGAAAGCGUGGGGAGCAAACAGGAUUAGAUACCCGGGUAGUCCCUGUCUCUUAUAC